Molecule: ribosomal RNA, 468 nt
Filed under: uncultured bacterium
Lineage: Bacteria
Description: bacterial SSU rRNA
Rfam family: Bacterial small subunit ribosomal RNA
Source: RNAcentral
UUUCGAAUCAUUCACAAUGGGCGAAAGCCUGAUGGUGCGACGCCGCGUGCAGGAUGACGGUCCUAUGGAUUGUAAACUGCUUUUUGUACAGGAAGAAACAGUUCUACGUGUAGAACCUUGACGGUACUGUAAGAAUAAGGAUCGGCUAACUCCGUGCCAGCAGCCGCGGUAAUACGGAGGAUCCAAGCGUUAUCCGGAAUCAUUGGGUUUAAAGGGUCCGUAGGCGGUUAGAUAAGUCAGUGGUGAAAGCCCAUCGCUCAACGGUGGAACGGCCAUUGAUACUGUCUGACUUGAAUUAUUAGGAAGUAACUAGAAUAUGUAGUGUAGCGGUGAAAUGCUUAGAGAUUACAUGGAAUACCAAUUGCGAAGGCAGGUUACUACUAAUGGAUUGACGCUGAUGGACGAAAGCGUGGGUAGCGAACAGGAUUAGAUACCCAUGUAGUCCCUGAGCGGGCUGGCAAGGCGCAU